RNAcentral lists this long non-coding RNA (1396 nucleotides) under Sus scrofa (pig). RNAcentral describes it as "lncRNA (ENSSSCG00015003831.1, ENSSSCG00045010285.1)". The record is from RNAcentral. Lineage: Eukaryota; Metazoa; Chordata; Mammalia; Artiodactyla; Suidae.
AGUUCUGAUCUGUAUUUUCCUCCUCUUUCUCUUCUGAAGUUCUACUGAUUUGGAUGGCUUCCUGAAAAGGAACAGUAUCUUCAGCAUAAUGUAAGUGAAACUGGUUAACCAACUCAGUGUAGCUCCCCAGCAUGGCAGCCAGCCCCUUCUUCUGGCUCCAUCACCGCCUUACCAGGGCGCUCAGAAAGCUUCACGAACUGAUGCAAAAAUGCUCCUCCAAUCUGCCCUGGCUUAUUCUGUUUGCCUGAAAGACUGCCACAAGCUAGUUACUAAGGCGUUUCUCACAUUCCACAAAAUUUAAAAUAUCUCAGCCCUGGAGUGCCCAUCGUGGCUCAGCAGUUAACAAAUCUGACUAGCAUCCAUGAGGAUGCAGGUUUGAUCCUGGGCCUCACUCAGUGGGUUAAGGAUGUGGUAUUGCCGUGAACUUCGGUGUAAGUGGCAGACGCAGCUCGGAUCCCCCGUUGCUGUGGCUGUGGUGUAGGCCAGCGGCAACAGCUACGAUUUGACCCCUAGCCUGGGAACCUCCGUAUGCCUCGGGGAGUCAGGCCUCUGGGGUUCCUUCCACCAACAGCCGCACUCAAAGUGUUCAGUUCACAUCCGCGUAGAAGAAAGCGAGUUCUCUACCAAAGGAGUUAGGUCAGAGGUUGGGUCUAACUACCUCACCUACCGGAGGCACUGAAAUUUAAAAACAACGAGAAUGUCCAAGAAUACAGAACACUGAGAAGGAAAAAAAGAGGUACGUCCACAUAUGGAUCUGAAUUGGAUCUGCUUAACCUUGGGACUCCUGGGGUGAGAAAAGGUGGGAACUUCAACAAAAGAGCGCCGCAGGCACAGAGCAGGUGUUUAGUCACAGCCAAACCAAGCUAAGGUUAAGCGUCUUUGCUGGUUUGGUUUACGUGCUCUGUUGCCACAUAAAAUGAUUCAAAGACUUGAUUUGAAUACAUUCAUCUGCCUAUCAAUGACUCAAUCACUCUCUCACUCACUUCUGAGGUUUUACAAAGUGAAGCUUAACUUCCUAGGACUAAGGGAACCAUUUGAUCCCUAGGCUCUGCGAGCACUGGAUGGCUGCCAGAACACUUCUCAACACUUACCCCAAAGCAAGAGGCAAGCGUGAUAAAAAUGAGCCCAAACUGACCAGGGUUUAUGCAGUUAAGGAUCAUCCUCCAGUACCCAGCACGGGCAGCACUGUGGGGUCAGGUUUCAUUUUCCAGAAUUAAGCUGGGCUUUCCCCAAAGUGUGAGACCCUCCCCCACUUGCCAUCCACCAGCUGCUAAAGUGGGGGGUGGGGGGAGGGCAGUGGGGCCGUGGUCCACAGGGAGCCUAAUACAAGCAAGUGCUGAAGGAAAAGGAAGCCAGCUUUCCUUUAAGCAUGAUUCCAGCUUCUGCACUGGAAUCU